GCGGCCGGUCCCUUGAGUGCGUGCGGCAUAUUUCCCUGCGCGGAGGAGUGCGUGUUCUUUCUGAUCCGCUCUUUCAAGAGCGGAUUCGGAAGCUGCUGUGUGAACGGUUCUCGACAGCCUCAGAAAUGUACAUUUUCUUUUUGCUGUAUUGAAAAUUUCUUACAGUAUUUCCCGGGCUUAGGAAUUUGUUCGUGUCAUCGCUGAAUCUUCGCGAUCACCCCCAGAAGGAAGUGGCUGAGCCGAGAUCAGGCCCGUCGACUCCAGACCAGGGGUCCUCGACCUAAGUGGUUACCAGACACUCGAGUGUGCGAACAACUUUGGUAAUUUUUUUUUUUUAAUGUAAGCGUAACUACGAAGCCACAUGGGAGAGGAUUUUGAAGAGGUUAAAAUUUGGGGUCAGGAACUAGAUUUCAGUCCUGCUUUCACCGUUUACUGUGCCUUGGAUUUUAAAGAGGAUCAAAUGAGGUUGUGAAAGUACUUUGUGAAUUCAGAAAACCCCUUGGAAAUGCAAAAAUGUUGGCACCCCCACCCAUCCUUCCGUCCCUAACCACAAUCUCCAUAGAUGGAAUAUAUGUACAUUAUACGUAAUGUUUACAUAUUGUAUAUGUAAAAAAAAUUUUUUUUUGAGACGGAGUCUCACUGUCGCCCAGGCUGGAGUGCAGUGGCGCUAUCUCGGCUCACUGCAGCCCCGCCUCCUGGGUUCAAGCGGUUCUUCUGUCUCAGCCUCCCUAGUAGCUGGAAGUACAGGCGCACGCCACCACACCCAGCUAAUUUUUGUAUUUUUAGUAGAGACGGGGUUUCACCAUUGGCCAGGCUGGUCUCGAACUCCUGACCUCGUGAUACGCCUGCCUCAGCCUCCCAAAGUGCUGGGAUUACAGGCAUGAGCCACCGCGCCCGGCCAAAAAUUUUGUAAUUUUUUUUUUUUGGUGGAGGGAGGAUAGAAGCUCAGCCACCUCUUGCCCAGUCUGCAGCAGGUCAGCCAGGAACCUCAACCAUCUCUGCAGCCAGAGCCUGUCUUCAUGGUGGACAGAGCCAUCUCGCUUUGUCACCCAGGCUCGGGUACAGUGGCACAGUCUCAGCUCACUGCAGCCUCAACCUCUUGGGCUCAAGCGAUCCUGCCACCUCAGCCUCCCAAGUAGCUGGGACUACAGGUGUGUGCCACCACGCCUGGCUAAUUUUUGUAUUUUUAGUAGAGAUGGGUUUUCGCCAUGUUGGCCAGACUGGUCUCAACUUCCUGCCCUCAGGUGAUAUGCCUGCCUCAGCCUCCCAAAGUGCUGGGAUUACAAGCGUGAGUCACCAUGCCUGGCCUAUAUCAAAAUAUUUAUUUAUAUACACAUAUUUUAUGUGUGUGUGUGUGUGUGUGUGUGUGUGUGUGUGUGUGUGUAUUUCAUAAGGUCCCCCAUGAUAUUUCAGCAGUGAAGUGAUAUUUCUAAUUAAUUUGGGUUUUCUUAUCUUCCCAAUUUUCCUUCAUUGUAUAUAUAUUGCUGUGUACUAUGGAAAAAGCAAUAUUAUAAAAGUUAACAUACUUCUUCGGUGCGCAUGCGACGAGGCUCAAUAUGUGUGGUGGAGUGUGCACGCC
RNAcentral lists this long non-coding RNA (1579 nucleotides) under Homo sapiens (human). RNAcentral's name for it is "non-protein coding lnc-MTFR1L-1:1". Lineage: Eukaryota; Metazoa; Chordata; Mammalia; Primates; Hominidae. The record is from RNAcentral.